ACCGCACAAAAAGAAAGUGUCCCGGACUGCAAGGUUCGGGACACUUUCUUUUUAGGCUCCUAUGCUUCUCGAAGCACU
Molecule: non-coding RNA, 78 nt
Filed under: Porphyromonas gingivalis
Lineage: Bacteria; Pseudomonadati; Bacteroidota; Bacteroidia; Bacteroidales; Porphyromonadaceae
Also listed under: 3 other names
Source: RNAcentral